This 1552-nucleotide small RNA is filed under the name Rhizophagus melanus. RNAcentral's name for it is "eukaryotic LSU rRNA". The stretch from base 708 to 1552 matches the Rfam family "Eukaryotic large subunit ribosomal RNA", at positions 1 to 695 of the family's 3401-position model. Lineage: Eukaryota; Fungi; Glomeromycota; Glomeromycetes; Glomerales; Glomeraceae. The record is from RNAcentral.
UAUUGCUCUUGAACGAGGAAUCCCUAGUAAGCACAAGUCAUUAGCUUGUGCUGAUUACGUCCCUGCCCUUUGUACACACCGCCCGUCGCUACUACCGAUUGAAUGGCUUAGUGAGGCCUUCGGAUCGAGUUUCGGAGACUGGAAACAGUUCCUGGAUCUUGAAAAGUUGGUCAAACUUGGUCAUUUAGAGGAAGUAAAAGUCGUAACAAGGUUUCCGUAGGUGAACCUGCGGAAGGAUCAUUACCGAUUUUAGCGAACCUGGCCUUUUGGUCAUGGUCUCGCGAAAAACUUGUAUUUAAAACCCCCCACUCUUAUAAAACGAAAUAUUUUGUAUAUACUGUAUAAUAAAAUAAGAUCACUUUCAACAACGGAUCUCUUGGCUCUCGCAUCGAUGAAGAACGUAGCGAAGUGCGAUAAGUAGUGUGAAUUGCAGAAUUCCGUGAAUCAUCGAAUCUUUGAACGCAAAUUGCACUUUCUGGCACCCCGGGAAGUAUGCCUGUUUGAGGGUCAGUUUAAUAAAAAUCGGAGUGUCGCUCUCGUGAUGCACCGGAGGUUGGGUCAUCUUAGCUUUUUUCAGGUUAAGAGGCUUAAAAUUGAUCUUUUUGCGCGGUUUAGACGUACAUAAUUUUUUUAUUCGUCUAUAACGUCAAAUUUUUUACUAGGUGCGAACACGUCGCGUGAUCUCGUGCCUAUAAUAUCUCAUCUUUUGACCUCAAAUCAGGUAGGGACACCCGCUGAACUUAAGCAUAUCAAUAAGCGGAGGAAAAGAAAAUAACAAUGAUUCCCCUAGUAACUGCGAGUGAAGAGGGACAAGCUCAAAUUUAAAAUCUGUUAGGUUUUACCUGACCGAGUUGUAAUUUGAAGAGGCGUUUUCAGCGUUUUUGGUCAGCUCAAGUCCUAUUGAAUGAGGCAUCAUGGAGGGUGAUAAUCCCGUCCGGUUGAUCAAUGCGUUUUACGAUACGUCUUCCAAGAGUCAAGUUGUUUGGGAUUGCAGCUUAAAAUGGGAGGUAAAUUUCUCCUAAGGCUAAAUAACGGCGAGAGACCGAUAGCGAACAAGUACCGUGAGGGAAAGAUGAAAAGAACUUUGAAAAGAGAGUCAAACAGUACGUGAAAUUGUUGAAAGGGAAACGAUUGAAGCCAGUCGUACCGGCGGAUAAUCAGCCUUUCGGGUGCGAUUCUGUGGAGCGUGAGGAGCUUAAUCGCCUUCACGUCUGCAUAUUCGUGCACUUUGGGUGUACUUGUCCGUGUGGUGAGUUAACAUCAAUUCCGGUCGUCAUAAAAUGAUUGGAGGAAUGUAGCUUCGAUCUCGUAUCGUAGUGUUAUAGACUCUGGUAGAUGUGACGAUUGGGAUUGAGGAUUGCAACGGAUACCCUUCGGGGCUACCCGUCUGAUCUCUGAAGGUUGCUCCGGUGCCGAAAGCGUGCUUACGGUUAUCGAAAGUGAUGGUCAAAAGGUUAGAACGGGUUAAAUUCGUUAAGGAUGUUGACGUAAUGGCUUUAAACGACCCGUCUUGAAACACGGACCAAGGAGUCUAACAUAUGUGCGAGUGUUU